This 490-nucleotide ribosomal RNA is filed under the name bacterium 24F7. RNAcentral's name for it is "bacterial SSU rRNA". It matches the Rfam family "Bacterial small subunit ribosomal RNA", at positions 103 to 628 of the family's 1533-position model. The record is from RNAcentral.
CGGGUGAGUAACGCGUGGGAAGCUACCUUGUGGUAGGGGACAACAGUUGGAAACGACUGCUAAUACCCUAUGAGCCCUAUGGGGGAAAGAUUUAUCGCCAUGAGAUGUGCCCGCGUUAGAUUAGCUAGUUGGUAAGGUAAUGGCUUACCAAGGCGACGAUCUAUAGCUGGUCUGAGAGGAUGAUCAGCCACACUGGGACUGAGACACGGCCCAGACUCCUACGGGAGGCAGCAGUGGGGAAUAUUGGACAAUGGGGGCAACCCUGAUCCAGCCAUGCCGCGUGUGUGAUGACGGCCUUAGGGUUGUAAAGCACUUUCAGCAGUGAAGAUAAUGACAUUAACUGCAGAAGAAGCCCCGGCUAACUUCGUGCCAGCAGCCGCGGUAAUANGAAGGGGGCUAGCGUUGUUCGGAAUCACUGGGCGUAAAGNUNANGUAGGCGGACUGAUAAGUUAGGGGUGAAAUCCCUAGGCUCAACCUUGGAACUGCCUUU